UCCCUGUAAAGAUUGGGGAAAAAAGAAAAAGAAGUGUUUGUGUUAAACACUGACCUUGCUGCAUUGCUACUGUGGGGCAAUAGAAGUCAUAGAACAUUCCAGUGUCCAUCUACUGUGAACAACUUUCCAGUUAGAGACAAGGCAUGCUGAGAUAAUCAUUCAGACAAAUCAAGCCUCAAUCUUCUCAAAGAGCAAAGCAGGGGUCAGGAAGAGAAUCCUCCUCUUGGAUUUACAGUGAACUGCUGGCUCACAACAGAGCUUAUUUCUGUGGAACAGCAAGCACUGCCCUAUUGCCUGGGGCAGUCUUCUGGAUGAGCUGGGGAAUGCAGAACCCAAGCAGAGACUGGUGCGGUAAUGUAAAGGAGGAGCCAAAAGCAGAGUUUAGAUCCCCUGAAACUCAGGCCUUCACUUGUUUCUGGCCAUAGCAUAAAUCACUCCCUCCAAGCAUUUAUGAAUGGGAAGACAUCCUGUGGAAACCUUCAGCAGUGACUAGACUCACAAUUCUCCACACCAUGCACAAGGAAUGUUAUCAGAAGAUAUGGGAACAGGAUGGUGCUGAGAGCAGGACCUGCACAUCUUCUCUCUUCCAUGAAGGAUGUGAGCUCUCCCCUGUUGCAUUUCUCAGAAGAAGCAAAAAGCGAGACCGUGGCUCGUCAGGUGAGAAUGGGAUAGUCACAUACCUGUCCAGCUGAACAGAAACAGGAUAGUUCAAGAUAAAGAGUAAUUACAGAAAAACUUCCUCCUUUUGCCUUUGAUAUGCCUCUGGAGGAGCCCUAACAAGGCAAAUGAACUUUCUAACUGAUCUGCUACCACCCAGGUGAGGCAUGUAGAGACAAAUUUCACUUGUAGGGCAGGCAACUGACUCUGCAUCAGCAACAAACCUGGGAAAUCAGAUUGGAGACUGAGAGACUUCUUAAAAUCACGCAAAUCUGGGAUUUGUCCUCCGAAAAACCUGAUUGCAGCACUGAGAAUGUACUGCUUCUCCAGAGCACCAACAAAACUAAUCGUAUCAGAGAACGGAUACGAUGGCCACAAGCAGUUUUUUCCAACAGAUGUCCUGAGGACUCACCUGCCCAGGUGCUCUGGCCUUCGUUUCCCACAGCUCAUAGCUCCUUCUCUGCCACCUCCCAGAGCCUGCAGCAGCAUCACUGCAGCAGCAUCACUGCAGCAGCAUCACUGCAGCAGCAUCACUGAGCACAGUGACAAAUGCUGCUGAGCUGCUGCUGCUGCCAGCAGUGUCUGCACCUGCUCCUUGCCAAAACCAGCCCACAGCCUGAGCUUUUGCUUUCCUCACGCCUCAUCCUGCCAAAGCAGCUUCCUUGAGAUCAUGUUUCAAAUAAUAUUUUACUAAAAUUCUGAUCUUUUUUCUUAUUCUUGCCUCUAUCUUCUCUUCCUUGUCUAAUUUCUGAUCACUUGCUGUUUGUGUGUUUUUUUUUUUUUUUGUUUUUUUUUUUUUUUUUUUUUUUGCUACAAGCUCUUUGUUCUGAUUAAAUGAAAAAGUGGUAAGACAGACUGAACUGGAUGAGCUGUCAAACACCUAGAAAACAUUCCAGCAUAAAAGUAUUUUCAAAAUAAACACUUCCCUAAGAGAAGACUUGACAAACAGCCUGAACAAUAAAAUUCUUGAACACCACCCAGUUGAUGGGACUCUUUUCUGGGCUAAUU
Non-coding RNA from Taeniopygia guttata (zebra finch), 1665 nucleotides. NCBI's taxonomy places the organism in Eukaryota, Metazoa, Chordata, Aves, Passeriformes, Estrildidae. The record is from RefSeq and is a predicted model, not a curated record.